Molecule: transfer RNA, 74 nt
Filed under: Stegodyphus mimosarum
Lineage: Eukaryota; Metazoa; Arthropoda; Arachnida; Araneae; Eresidae
Rfam family: tRNA
About the family: Transfer RNA (tRNA) molecules are approximately 80 nucleotides in length.
Source: Rfam by way of RNAcentral
UCCUUCAUGGUGCAAUUGAGAAGCAUUUCUGACUGGCAAUCGGAAGAUCCAGAGUUCGAAUCUCUGCAAAGGAA